GUCUGAGACCUGAUGCCGAGCCGAUUGUGGUGAAGUGGAUGAUCCUAUGCUGUCGAGAAAAGCCUCUAGCGAGUUUCAUGGCGGCCCGUACCCUAAACCGACUCAGGUGGUCAGGUAGAGAAUACCGAGGCGUUCGGGUGAACUAUGGUUAAGGAACUCGGCAAAAUGCCCCCGUAACUUCGGGAGAAGGGGGGCCACACUGGUGAUGAGCUUUGCGCUCUGAGCUGGGGGUGGCCGCAGAGACCAGCGAGAAGCGACUGUUUACUAAAAACACAGGUCCGUGCGAAGCCGUAAGGCGAUGUAUACGGACUGACGCCUGCCCGGUGCUGGAACGUUAAGGGGACCGGUUAGCUCACUUUCGGGUGGGCGAAGCUGAGAACUUAAGCGCCAGUAAACGGCGGUGGUAACUAUAACCAUCCUAAGGUAGCGAAAUUCCUUGUCGGGUAAGUUCCGACCUGCACGAAUGGCGUAACGACUUCUCGACUGUCUCAACCAUAGGCCCGGUGAAAUUGCACUACGAGUAAAGAUGCUCGUUUCGCGCAGCAGGACGGAAAGACCCCGGGACCUUUACUACAGUUUGAUAUUGGUGUUCGGUUCGGCUUGUGUAGGAUAGCUGGGAGACUUUGAAGCAGGCACGCCAGUGUUUGUGGAGUCGUCGUUGAAAUACCAGUCUGGUCGUGCUGGAUGUCUAACCUGGGUCCGUGAUCCGGAUCAGGGACAGUGUCUGAUGGGUAGUUUAACUGGGGCGGUUGCCUCCUAAAGGGUAACGGAGGCGCCCAAAGGUUCCCUCAGCCUGGUUGGCAAUCAGGUGUUGAGUGUAAGUGCACAAGGGAGCUUGACUGUGAGACCGACGGGUCGAGCAGGGACGAAAGUCGGGACUAGUGAUCCGGCGGUGGCUUGUGGAAGCGCCGUCGCUCAACGGAUAAAAGGUACCCCGGGGAUAACAGGCUGAUCUUCCCCAAGAGUCCAUAUCGACGGGAUGGUUUGGCACCUCGAUGUCGGCUCGUCGCAUCCUGGGGCUGGAGUCGGUCCCAAGGGUUGGGCUGUUCGCCCAUUAAAGCGGUACGCGAGCUGGGUUUAGAACGUCGUGAGACAGUUCGGUCCCUAUCCGCUGUGCGCGUAGGAGUCUUGAGAAGGGCUGUCCCUAGUACGAGAGGACCGGGACGGACGAACCUCUGGUGUGCCAGUUGUUCUGCCAAGGGCAUGGCUGGUUGGCUACGUUCGGGAGGGAUAACCGCUGAAAGCAUCUAAGCGGGAAGCCUGCUUCGAGAUGAGGACUCCCACCCACUUGAUGGGGUAAGGCUCCCAGUAGACGACUGGGUUGAUAGGCCGGAUCUGGAAGCACAGUAAUGUGUGGAGGUGACCGGUACUAAUAGGCCGAGGGCUUGUCCU
This 1392-nucleotide ribosomal RNA is filed under the name Streptomyces sp. NRRL S-732. Its description in RNAcentral is "bacterial LSU rRNA". It matches the Rfam family "Bacterial large subunit ribosomal RNA", at positions 1554 to 2925 of the family's 2925-position model. The record is from RNAcentral. Lineage: Bacteria; Bacillati; Actinomycetota; Actinomycetes; Kitasatosporales; Streptomycetaceae.